RNAcentral lists this ribosomal RNA (842 nucleotides) under human gut metagenome. RNAcentral describes it as "bacterial SSU rRNA". It matches the Rfam family "Bacterial small subunit ribosomal RNA", at positions 31 to 874 of the family's 1533-position model. The record is from RNAcentral.
GAACGCUGGCGGCGUGCCUAAUACAUGCAAGUCGAACGCUUCACUUCGGUGAAGAGUGGCGAACGGGUGAGUAAUACAUAAGUAACCUGGCAUCUACAGGGGGAUAACUGAUGGAAACGUCAGCUAAGACCGCAUAGGUGUAGAGAUCGCAUGAACUCUAUAUGAAAAGUGCUACGGGACUGGUAGAUGAUGGACUUAUGGCGCAUUAGCUUGUUGGUAGGGUAACGGCCUACCAAGGCGACGAUGCGUAGCCGACCUGAGAGGGUGACCGGCCACACUGGGACUGAGACACGGCCCAGACUCCUACGGGAGGCAGCAGUAGGGAAUUUUCGGCAAUGGGGGAAACCCUGACCGAGCAACGCCGCGUGAAGGAAGAAGUAAUUCGUUAUGUAAACUUCUGUCAUAGAGGAAGAACGGUGGAUAUAGGGAAUGAUAUCCAAGUGACGGUACUCUAUAAGAAAGCCACGGCUAACUACGUGCCAGCAGCCGCGGUAAUACGUAGGUGGCGAGCGUUAUCCGGAAUUAUUGGGCGUAAAGAGGGAGCAGGCGGCACUAAGGGUCUGUGGUGAAAGAUCGAAGCUUAACUUCGGUAAGCCAUGGAAACCGUAGAGCUAGAGUGUGUGAGAGGAUCGUGGAAUUCCAUGUGUAGCGGUGAAAUGCGUAGAUAUAUGGAGGAACACCAGUGGCGAAGGCGACGAUCUGGCGCAUAACUGACGCUCAGUCCCGAAAGCGUGGGGAGCAAAUAGGAUUAGAUACCCUAGUAGUCCACGCCGUAAACGAUGAGUACUAAGUGUUGGGUGUCAAAGCUCAGUGCUGCAGUUAACGCAAUAAGUACUCCGCCU